AAAUCCUAAGGCCGACGGGAGAAGCAUUGUUAAGGAACUCGGCAAAAUGACUCCGUAACUUCGGGAGAAGGAGUGCCAGUAAGAUGGCCGCAGAGAAUUGGCCCAAGCAACUGUUUAGCAAAAACACAGGUCUAUGCAAAACCGAAAGGUGAGGUAUAUGGGCUGACGCCUGCCCGGUGCUGGAAGGUUAAGGGGAGAGGUUAGCGCAAGCGAAGCUUUGAACUUAAGACCCAGUAAACGGCGGCCGUAACUAUAACGGUCCUAAGGUAGCGAAAUUCCUUGUCGGGUAAGUUCCGACCCGCACGAAAGGCGUAAUGAUUUGGGCACUGUCUCAACAAUGCACCCGGUGAAAUUGAAAUACCAGUGAAGAUGCUGGUUACCUGCGCCAGGACGGAAAGACCCCAUGGAGCUUUACUCCAGCUUGAUACUGGGAUUCGGUAUUGCAUGUACAGGAUAGGUGGGUGGCUAGGAAAUGGUAACGCCAGUUGCCAUGGAGCCAAUGUUGGGAUACCACCCUUGCAGUACUGGGUUUCUAACCAGCAGCCGUGAUCCGGCUGGGGGACAAUGUCAGGUGGGGAGUUUGACUGGGGCGGUCGCCUCCGAAAGGGUAUCGGAGGCGCUCAAAGGUUCCCUCAGAAUGGUUGGAAACCAUUCGAAGAGUGCAAAGGCAGAAGGGAGCUCGACUGCGACACCGACGGGUGGAGCAGGUACGAAAGUAGGACUUAGUGAUCCGGUGGUAUAAAGUGGGAUUGCCAUCGCUCAACGGAUAAAAGCUACCCUGGGAUAACAGGCUUAUCACUCCCAAGAGUUCACAUCGACGGAGUGGUUUGGCACCUCGAUGUCGGCUCAUCGCAUCCUGGGGCUGAAGUAGGUCCCAAGGGUUGGGCUGUUCGCCCAUUAAAGCGGUACGCGAGCUGGGUUCAGAACGUCGUGAGACAGUUCGGUCCCUAUCCGGCGUGGGCGUAAGAUAUUUGAGAGGAGCUGUCCUUAGUACGAGAGGACCGGGAUGGACUGGCCGCUGGUGUAUCUGUUGUCUUACCAAAGGCAUAGCAUAGUAGCCAAGCCGGGAAGGGAUAAACGCUGAAGGCAUCUAAGCGUGAAGCCCCCCUCAAGAUGAGAUAUCUCAUAACGUCAAGUUAGUAAGACCCCUUGAAGACGACGAGGUAGAUAGGGCAGAGGUGGAAGUGUGGUAACACAUGGAGCUGACUGUUACUAAUAGGUCGAGGGCAUAACCAA
This 1236-nucleotide ribosomal RNA is filed under the name metagenome. Its description in RNAcentral is "bacterial LSU rRNA". It matches the Rfam family "Bacterial large subunit ribosomal RNA", at positions 1676 to 2925 of the family's 2925-position model. The record is from RNAcentral.